GGGCGAAUGGUUUAGUGGUAUAAUACUCCCUUAGCAAGAUUCUUCUGAAGAUAUCUGGGAGUGGUCCAGGGUUCGAUUCCCUGUUCGUCCA
This is a transfer RNA of Neonectria ditissima, 91 nucleotides long. It matches the Rfam family "tRNA". From Rfam's summary of the family: Transfer RNA (tRNA) molecules are approximately 80 nucleotides in length. Their secondary structure includes four short double-helical elements and three loops (D, anti-codon, and T loops). NCBI's taxonomy places the organism in Eukaryota, Fungi, Ascomycota, Sordariomycetes, Hypocreales, Nectriaceae. The record is from Rfam.